Molecule: long non-coding RNA, 3012 nt
Filed under: Equus caballus (horse)
Lineage: Eukaryota; Metazoa; Chordata; Mammalia; Perissodactyla; Equidae
Description: lncRNA (ENSECAG00000044710.1)
Source: RNAcentral
UGCACCAUUCACCUCCGACAUCGUAUACCUUAUUUUUAGUGAUGUGCCUAUUAGCAUUGCUGCGCAAAUUUAGUGGCUUCCACCAACAAUCAUUUAUUUGCCCAUAAUGUUGUGGGUUGGCAAUCUGGGCUGGGCUAGGCUGGGCCAUUCUUCAGCUGUCUUGCCUGAGCUCACUCAUGGCCACACCUGCACCUGGCAGCUCAGCUGGAACUGGAUGGUCGAGGACGACCUCGCUCACCUGUCUGGUGGUUGAUUGGCUGAAGGCUGGGGUGCCAUGUUUCUCCAUCAGAGCUUGGGCUCGUUCAAACUGCUAUCUCAGAGUUCCAAGUACAGCAGAGAAAGAGCAAGCCUCAAUGUGCAAGCACUUUUCUAGCCUCUCUUUGCCUUACGUAUGCUUACAUCCCAUUGGCCAAAGCAAAUCACAUGGCCAAGUCCAGAUUCAGGGAGUGGAGAAAUAGACUUCACUCUUAAAGGCAGGGUCUGCAAUGAAUUUGUGGCCAUUUUUUUGCAUUCUACUGCAAGUUUCAUUUUACUGCUGCUGCUGGAGGGACGGGACCAUCUUUGCCUUGUUUACAUUGUAGCUUGAAGAAAAUGCGGCUUCUACUCCUUGCAUAAUAUCCUGAGUGUCCUAUAGGGAGGUCAACUUUGUUUCAGAGAGAGGAACUCGCCUCUCGAGUUGAUGUGGCAGGGAAUGAGAAACCGUAAGAUCUAAGAGGUGUGGGGAGAGUAGGGAGAAGAUAGAAAGGAAUAGAAAUGAUGCAGGUGGAAACUGUGUGUGGGAAUGCGUGGAUAUACAUACACAUGAGGUGAGAGAUGAAUGAGCUUGGAUUUCAGUGUUAACCAGUUUUAGUUUUUUGAGGGCAAAGGAGGAUUUUGAACAAUUUUAGACUUUUAUAAAUUAUUUUCCCAAGUCCACACCAGGUUGCGGGGUAAGAUAGAGUCAAAAGCGUUAUCACAAAGCAUUCUUUCUUUGGCAGGACCUUUCAAGGUGCCUUCUUUUAUUUCUGGCAGUCCCCGAGGGGCAUCUCAAAGGUUCUCACAAUCACAAUCUUCUUAGCUACGAUGUGGUGUCUACCAUUUUUCCCUGCUUCGGUUCCCUGCAGGGAUGUCAGCUGCUGAGGCUGCUGAUGCUGGCAAAUGCCCUUUGAAGAUUCUGGGGAUACUCAGAUGCUGAUGCAGGCUUUGUCUCCCACCAGUGAUGAAAGUGCUGGCACCAGCAUUGCUGGGUCUGCAGGUGCCCCUUUGUGUUCUUAGAGCCUUGUAAAGGUUUUCCUACAAUAGCCACCCAUAGAUUUACUGGCUAUUAUAUUUGGUUCCUUGACUCCAUUGCCUGAGUUCUCUUGUGGUAUUUCUUUAAUUUCUCAUGCAAAUAGAGCUGUGAUGGGCCUGCUUCACAGGUCCUUCAUAUAAACAUUGUAUCAAUUACAUACUGUCAUGAAAUACUGUGUAGCAAAUAACCACAAAGCCUCUCAAGUCUAUGGGUCACCUGAGUGGCUAUGACUUGCAGAUCUAACUGUGGUCAGCUUGGCUGUGCUCUGUGACCCGUCUUAGGGGCUUAGCUUAAGAGAUGUGGCUCCAUUUCAUGUCAUCUCUCAUCCUCCCGUGGGCAAGCUCAGGUUUGUUGUCCUAGCAGUGGGAGGGUUCCAAGAGGGAGAGCACACGCUUAAAGCCUCUUGAGGCCCAGGGUCAGAAUCUCCACAACGUCUCUUCUACUGUUCAAAGUCAGUCACCAGGCCAGCCCAGAUUCAAGGGGUAAAGAAAUAGCCUUGAUCUCUUGAUGGUAGGAGCUGCAAAAUCACAUCACAAGGGACAUGGAAACAGGGAAGGGCAGAGAAUCGGAGCCAUCUUUGCAACCAAUUUAACUUUCACACACCCAGACACCUCUGAGGCCUAGGGUGAGCACAGGUUGGCAACCGAAACAAUGUUAAAUGCAUUUUAGAAAGAUACAUUUGGUGAUCCUUCUAAACAGGUGGAAGACAAAUUGAUUUGGGUAAUGGUAGGGGAGGUUGGUGUAACCAGCAAAAUGGCUUUUGGCUUAAUAUAAGUGAUAAAUCAGGAGGGUCUAGAACAGGGAUAGCAAAUAGCUUGCACACUGUGAUUGAAUUGCAGUAAAUGCCUGGAGUGGGGUGUUGAGGAGAAUUAUGUGGCCACUUUCCUGGGGGAGCUGAACACAGAGCCUUGAUGGAUUGGCCAUGUUCACCAUGGUCACUGAAGGGUGGAAUGACAACACAGGACCAGGUGUUUGCUAGUUUUGUCCUACCAAAGGCAGUAAAGUGAUAUCGAAGAGUCUUUUGAAAUUAAUUAGGAGGCAGAAUUAAAAAUUGUUGGUGAUCAAGUGCAAAUGAAGGAAAACUAUUAUUCUAGAUAAUCUUAGAUUUGAGAUUUGAGUACUAGAUGAGUGAUAAUGUCACUUCUUAAAGCACAUCAUAUUCUAAAGGAGUAGAUUUGAGUCUGUAUUAUACAGGUCAGUCUUGUAUCUUACUGCAUAAGGAGUACAUUUUUUUCUGUCACCUAUUGGUGCCUAACAAACCACCCAAAAGCUUAGAAGCCAUGAUGAUUAAUUUUAUAUGUCAACUUGACUGGACCACAGGAUGCCUGGAUAUUUGGUCAAACAUUCUUCUGGGUGUUUCUGGAUGAGAUUAACAGCUUUAUUGGUAGACUGAGUCGAGCAGAUUGCCCUCCCAAUGUGGUGGGCCUCAUCUGAUCAGCUGAAAGCCUGUGUAAAACAAAACAGCUGGUUUUCUCUGAGUCAGAGAGAAUUCCUUCUGCUUAAUGGCCUUCGAACUGGGACAUCGACUUUUUCUUUCCUUUGGACUCAAGCUGAAACAUCCCUCUUUCUGGGUCAUGAACUUCUUGGCCUUUCAACUGGAAUUACACCAUCAGUCCUGUUGGUUUUCAAGCUAUUGGACUCAGACUGGAAUGAUACCACUGGUUCUCCUGGGUCUCCAGCUUGCCCGUUCACCUUGCAGAUCCUGGGACUUGUCAGUCUCCAUAAUUGCAUGAUCCAAUUCC